CCCAUCUGGCCCGGGCCACGGACUGCUGACUGAACGGACCUACCAGGUGGGAAACUCUGUCUACGUUAGACGGCAUCGCACUCAAGGACUAAAGCCUCGGUGGAAAGAACCCUACAUUGUUCUCCUGACCAGUCACCCCUUCCAGCCAUAAAGGUUGACGGAAUCUCCACUUAGAUCCACGCAUCCCACGCCAAGGCUGCUCCAGAGACGUCCGGAUCAACACCACUUAAGACGUGAAAACUCCAACGCUCCGCGGACCCGCUCAAGAUAAGACUCUCUCGUAUCUAACUCCUUACUUAUUGUUUACCCUUCUUCCCUGCGCCGUCUCUAGUGUAGUUUUUGACGCUAACCCCCACCGGCCAUUUAGCCUGACCUGACAGAUAAUUAAUUUUAAUAAUCAAGAGGUCUUAAAUAAGACCUCCGAGAAUGCUCCUAUAAAGACUUGGUUUCCAGACCUCUAUUUCAACCUAAAAAAAAUAUAUAUAUAUAGCAAAAAAAAAAUAAAAGACACAGGCCCCCGGUUUACUAGUCCCACAGGAGUCCUAUUAAGAACUCCUCAAGAUAGACAAAAAUAGAAAAGACAGGCUAGAAAAAUGUCCAUCAGCCGGAACAGGUUUUAUGCCUGUCCCGGACACAAGACAGAACCAAUAAAAAACUUGUAGAAAUCUGACUCACUUGUAUUGCAAAAACUGGUCCUGUGUAACUACUAAUAAUAAAAAGUAAAAAUAA
This is a non-coding RNA of Macaca mulatta (Rhesus monkey), 729 nucleotides long. NCBI's taxonomy places the organism in Eukaryota, Metazoa, Chordata, Mammalia, Primates, Cercopithecidae. The record is from RefSeq and is a predicted model, not a curated record.